CAGCGAAGCAGCGUUCCCCUGGGAGAGAGGCAUGAGAGCAGAUGGGGAGUCUACCCAAGCCGCAGCGCAGAGGAAGGGCUGAAAGCCAAGGUCAAGCAGACACUGAGUACACCUCAUCAGCAAAUCAGCCCCCACCCUAAAGAACAAGGCUGAGCACUGGAAGCAUCACACUCCUGCACAACUGGACCUCUACCUCUGCCAGCAAGGAGUGACCAGGACUGAACUAGCCCUUCCACCACAAUCAGGCCAAAGGUGUUUUGUUCUGUACCUGCACAUUUUUCCAUGAUUUUCUUCAGAGGCCCAUGAGUGUACAUUAGUCCAACAAGAAUCCCGGCCAGAUGCCCGGCGAAGGAAGUCCUAGGAGAGAAGGAGACCCUUU
This is a long non-coding RNA of Ailuropoda melanoleuca (giant panda), 379 nucleotides long. RefSeq lists it as uncharacterized. The transcript is spliced from 3 exons. The record is from RefSeq and is a predicted model, not a curated record. Lineage: Eukaryota; Metazoa; Chordata; Mammalia; Carnivora; Ursidae.